GCCGCUUUAGCUCAGCCGGUAGAGCACAUCAUUCGUAAUGAUGGGGUCGCGUGUUCGAGUCACGCAAGCGGCACCA
RNAcentral lists this transfer RNA (76 nucleotides) under Sphingomonas sp. Its description in RNAcentral is "tRNA-Thr". It matches the Rfam family "tRNA". From Rfam's summary of the family: Transfer RNA (tRNA) molecules are approximately 80 nucleotides in length. Their secondary structure includes four short double-helical elements and three loops (D, anti-codon, and T loops). Further hydrogen bonds mediate the characteristic L-shaped molecular structure. tRNAs have two regions of fundamental functional importance: the anti-codon, which is responsible for specific mRNA codon recognition, and the 3' end, to which the tRNAs corresponding amino acid is attached (by aminoacyl-tRNA synthetases). tRNAs cope with the degeneracy of the genetic code in two manners: having more than one tRNA (with a specific anti-codon) for a particular amino acid; and 'wobble' base-pairing, i.e. permitting non-standard base-pairing at the 3rd anti-codon position. Lineage: Bacteria; Pseudomonadati; Pseudomonadota; Alphaproteobacteria; Sphingomonadales; Sphingomonadaceae. The record is from RNAcentral. RNAcentral also lists the same sequence under 37 other names.